CCUACGGGUGGCAGCAGUGAGGAAUAUUGGUCAAUGGACGAGAGUCUGAACCAGCCAAGUAGCGUGAAGGAUGACUGCCCUAUGGGUUGUAAACUUCUUUUAUAUGGGAAUAAAAUGUUCCACGUGUGGGAUUUUGUAUGUACCAUAUGAAUAAGGAUCGGCUAACUCCGUGCCAGCAGCCGCGGUAAUACGGAGGGUCCGAUCGUUAUCCGGAUUUAUUGGGUUUAAAGGGAGCGUAGGUGGAUUGUUAAGUCAGUUGUGAAAGGCUGGGGCUCAACCGUAAAAAUGCAGUUGAAACUGGCAGACUUGAGUACAGUAGAGGUGGGCGGAAUUCGUGGUGUAGCGGUGAAAUGCUUAGAUAUCACGAAGAACUCCGAUUGCGAAGGCAGUUCACUGGACUGCAACUGACACUGAGGCUCGAAAGUGUGGGUAUCAAACAGGAUUAGAUACCCUUGUAGUC
RNAcentral lists this ribosomal RNA (460 nucleotides) under uncultured bacterium. RNAcentral's name for it is "partial 16S ribosomal RNA". It matches the Rfam family "Bacterial small subunit ribosomal RNA", at positions 338 to 795 of the family's 1533-position model. The record is from RNAcentral.